Molecule: ribosomal RNA, 454 nt
Filed under: uncultured bacterium
Lineage: Bacteria
Description: bacterial SSU rRNA
Rfam family: Bacterial small subunit ribosomal RNA
Source: RNAcentral
AUGAACGCUGGCGGCGUGGCUAAGGCAUGCAAGUCGAAUGCUACAUUUCGGUGUGGCAUGGCAAACGGGUGCGUAACACAUUGGUAACUUACCUUCGAGUCGGGCAUAACCCAGAGAAAUUUGGGAUAAUACCCGAUGGACAUGGGGGGACACAGGUCAUUCCUAUGUAAAGAUUUAUCACUCGAAGAGGGGCCUAUGGCUUAUCAGCUAGUUGGUGGGGUAACGGCCUACCAAGGCAAUGACGAGUAGCGGGUGUGAGAGCACGACCCGCCUCACUGGGACUGAGACACUGCCCAGACACCUACGGGUGGCUGCAGUCACGAAUAUUCCCCAAUGGACGAAAGUCUGAGGGAGCGACGCCGCGUGCAGGAUGAAGGCCUUCGGGUCGUAAACUGCUUUUGCAAGGGACGAAUUCUUUGACGGUACCUUGCGAAUAAGAGGUUGCUAACUCUGU